This 253-nucleotide ribosomal RNA is filed under the name uncultured bacterium. RNAcentral describes it as "partial 16S ribosomal RNA". It matches the Rfam family "Bacterial small subunit ribosomal RNA", at positions 524 to 776 of the family's 1533-position model. The record is from RNAcentral.
UACGUAGGUGGCAAGCGUUGUCCGGAUUUACUGGGCGUAAAGAGCGCGCAGGCGGUCGUUCAAGUCGAGUGUGAAAGCCCCCGGCUCAACUGGGGAGGGUCACUCGAUACUGAUCGACUCGAAGGCAGGAGAGGGUAGUGGAAUUCCCGGUGUAGUGGUGAAAUGCGUAGAUAUCGGGAGGAACAUCAGUGGCGAAGGCGGCCUUCUGGUCCAGUACUGACACUCAAGUGCGAAAGCGUGGGGAGCAAACAGG